Molecule: ribosomal RNA, 1439 nt
Filed under: uncultured bacterium
Lineage: Bacteria
Description: partial 16S ribosomal RNA
Rfam family: Bacterial small subunit ribosomal RNA
Source: RNAcentral
AGAGUUUGAUCUUGGCUCAGGACGAACGUUGGCGGCGCGCCUCUCCCAUGCAAGUCGAGCGACGGACCUUACUGGGGUUACCCAGUCUGUUACGGAGCGGCGGACGGCCGAGUCUCGCGUCUGCAACCUGCCCCUCGGAGCGGGAUCUCCCUCUCUCUCUGGGGCUCUUACCGCAUACGCUUCUGGGAGCGCAUGUUCCCACAAGGAAAGGGAGGCAACUCCCGCCGAGGGAGGGGCUUGCGUCCUAUCAGCUCUUUGGUCUGGUCUCGGCUCACCAAGGCGAUCUCGGGUCUCUGGCCUCUCUGGGUGGCCAGCCGGACUGGGACUCUCUCACGGCCCAGACUCCUACGGGAGGCAGCAGGGCGGAAUCUUGCGCAAUGCCCGAAAGGGUCUCGCAGCGACGCCGCGUCUGGGAUCUCUCCCUUCGGGGUGUCUACCUCUUUUGCAGGGGAAGAAAUCUCUCGGUACCCUGCGAAUCUGUCCCGGCCAAUUACGUGCCAGCAGCCGCGGUCUCUCGUCUGGGGCGAACGUUGUCCGGAAUCACUGGGCGUCUCUGGUACGCAGGCGGUGGAGAAAGUCGGGUGUCUCUGCCUCGGGCUCAACUCGAGGAGGGCGCUCGAUACUUCUCCACUUCUGGAAGGGAGAGGGAGGUGGAAUUCCCGGUGUCUCGGUCUCUUGCGCAGAUAUCGGGAGGAACACCAGUGGCGAAGGCGGCCUCCUAUCCCUUUCCCUCUCGCUCAGGUACGAAAGCUCUGGGAGCGAACCGGAUUCUAUACCCGGGUCUUCCUCUCCGUCUACGAUGGGUGCUCUGUGUUGGGGAGCUUUCUCUCCUCAAUGCCGAAGCUCUCGCAUUCUGCACCCCGCCUGGGGAGUACGGCCGCAAGGUUCUCUCUCAGAGGAAUUCUCGGGGGCCCGCACAAGCGGUGGAGCAUGUUGUUUCUUUCGAUGCUCUCCGAAGAACCUUACCAGGGCUUCUCAUGCUGGUGGUCUCGAGCCGAAAGGUCUGCGACCCUUUCCCUUUUGGGAAAGGGAGCCAGCACAGGUGCUGCACGGCUGUCGUCAGCUCGUGCCGUCUGGUGUCGGGUUCUGUCCCUCAACGAGCGCAACCCCCGCCCUUCUUUGCCAGCGGCUCUGCUGGGCACUCUCUGGGGACUGCCAGGGUCAACCUGGAGGAAGGCGGGGAUCUCGUCAAGUCCGCGUGGUCCUUAUGUCCUGGGCUACAAACAUGCUACAAUGGGAUGUACAAAGGGAGGCAAUGCCGCGAGGCGGAGCUCUUCCCCAAAGCAUCCCCCAGUUCAGAUUGCAGGCUGCAACUCGCCUGCAUCUCUAAGGAAUCGCUCUUCUCCGCCGGUCAGCCAAACGGCGGUCUAUACGUUCCCGGGCCUUGUACACACCGCCCGUCAACUCAUCCGAGUCGGGGGUACCCGAAGUCGCUGGCC